Molecule: unclassified non-coding RNA, 296 nt
Filed under: Hevea brasiliensis (rubber tree)
Lineage: Eukaryota; Viridiplantae; Streptophyta; Magnoliopsida; Malpighiales; Euphorbiaceae
Source: RNAcentral
AUGUCUUGUGUACGUGCCUCAAAUCAUGGAGUUGGCUUUGUUGCUGAUAUCCGCCGAAUGAAUGUUGCUCUCACACGUGCCAGAAGGGCAUUAUGGGUUAUGGGGAAUGCAAAUUCGCUGGUCCAAUCUGAUGAUUGGGCUGCAUUGAUUGAUGAUGCUAAAGCAAGAAGCUGUUAUAUGGACAUGGACUCUCUCCCCAAAGAUUUUUUCGUUCCAAAGGGAAUGCAGGGGAAAACCAACAAUACAAGGGGUUCGAGGUUAGGUGGACCAAGACACAGAUCUAUGGAUAUCCACAU